AGGGUUUGUUUUUGCAAGUUUUUUGCACAUUACGUUAAGCAAGCCUGUUUGUGUGUGACCACUAGAGUCAGACUCCUUUGGCUCUCUCCUGGUACCUGAUGGAAGGGUAAAUAAUAAGGCAGCACUGUGUUGUGGAUUCAAACCGAGACUCCAGCUCUUAACAACAAUUGAAAGCCCCCACGGGUGUGUAAAGAAAUCAGAGACAACAGCACAUCAAUUAUGAAGCCCUGUACUCUAUCUACUGCUGGCAAAAGAAAAGGUUAAUUAUCUAAAAGUAAAGCAACUUUAUGCUGGUGUAGGAGGGUGAACUGGAAGGAGAGCUGUUGAACAAACAAGAUAAGGUUGUGAUCUACAACGUAAGAAGACGGAAGCUGAAUAAGAAAAUGUCCAGAAUAACCUGUCACCCACAGGCAAAUUGCAUGGCUGAAAACUCUUGACUAAAAUAAAUGGACUACGUCAUGUCUUUUAAUAAGCCUU
RNAcentral lists this long non-coding RNA (477 nucleotides) under Manacus vitellinus (golden-collared manakin). Its description in RNAcentral is "lncRNA (ENSMVIG00005007378.1)". The record is from RNAcentral. Lineage: Eukaryota; Metazoa; Chordata; Aves; Passeriformes; Pipridae.